Molecule: ribosomal RNA, 301 nt
Filed under: uncultured bacterium
Lineage: Bacteria
Description: partial 16S ribosomal RNA
Rfam family: Bacterial small subunit ribosomal RNA
Source: RNAcentral
CAGUCGCCGCGGGAAUACAGAGGGUGCAAGCGUUAAUCGGAAUUACUGGGCGUAAAGCGUGCGUAGGCGGCUUUUUAAGUCGGAUGUGAAAUCCCUGAGCUUAACUUAGGAAUUGCAUUCGAUACUGGGAAGCUAGAGUAUGGGAGAGGAUGGUAGAAUUCCAGGUGUAGCGGUGAAAUGCGUAGAGAUCUGGAGGAAUACCGAUGGCGAAGGCAGCCAUCUGGCCUAAUACUGACGCUGAGGUACGAAAGCAUGGGGAGCAAACAGGAUUAGAUACCCCAGUAGUCCCUGUCUCUUAUAC